RNAcentral lists this ribosomal RNA (440 nucleotides) under uncultured bacterium. RNAcentral describes it as "partial 16S ribosomal RNA". It matches the Rfam family "Bacterial small subunit ribosomal RNA", at positions 338 to 795 of the family's 1533-position model. The record is from RNAcentral.
CCUACGGGAGGCAGCAGUGAGGAAUAUUGCACAAUGGACGAAACCCUGAUGCAGCGAAGCCGCGUGAAGGAAGAAGUAUUUCUGUAUGUAAACUUCUAUCAGCAGGGAAGUAAAUGACAGUACCUGACUAAGAAGCCCCGUCUAACUACGUUCAAGCAGCCGCGGUAAUACGUAGGGGGCAAGCGUUAUCCGGAUGUACUGGGUGUAAAGAGAGCGUAGGCGGUUUAGCAAGUCAGAAGUGAAAGCCCGGGGCUCAACUCCGGGAUUGCUUUUGAAACUGUUGAACUAGAUUGCAGGAGAGGUGAGUGGAAUUCCUGGUGUAGCGGUGAAAUGCGUAGAUAUUAGGAGGAACACCAGUGGCGAAGGCGGCUUACUGGACUGUAAAUGACGCUGAGGCUCGAAAGUGUGGGGAGCAAACAGGAUUAGAUACCCCUGUAGUC